CCUACGGGUGGCAGCAGUAGGGAAUUUUCGUCAAUGGGCGCAAGCCUGAACGAGCGAUGCCGCGUGAGUGAAGAAGGCCUUCUGGGCGUAAAGCUCUGUUGCGAGGGAAAAAAAGCAGCAUCAGGAAAUGGGUGCUGACUGAUGGUGCCCCGCCAGAAAGUCACGGCUAACUCCGUGCAAGCAGCCGCGGUAAUACGUAGGUGGCGAGCGUUAGCCGGAAUGGUUUGGCGUAAAGGGUGCGCAGGCGGUCCGUCAAGUUUGGAGUGAAACGCAUGAGCUCAAAUCAUGCAUGGCUUGGGAAACUGGAGGGCUGGAGAGCAGGAGAGGGCGGUGGAACGCCAUGUGUAGCGGUAAAAUGCGUAGAUAUAUGGAAGAACACCAGUGGCGAAGGCGGCCGACUGGCCUGUUGCUGACGCUGAGGCACGAAAGCGUGGGGAGCAAAUAGGAUUAGAUACCCCGGUAGUC
Molecule: ribosomal RNA, 465 nt
Filed under: uncultured bacterium
Lineage: Bacteria
Description: partial 16S ribosomal RNA
Rfam family: Bacterial small subunit ribosomal RNA
Source: RNAcentral